CCUACGGGAGGCUGCAGUGGGGAAUAUUGCACAAUGGGCGCAAGCCUGAUGCAGCCAUGCCGCGUGUGUGAAGAAGGCCUUCGGGUUGUAAAGCACUUUCAGCGGGGAGGAAGGCGGUGAGGUUAAUAACCUCAUCGAUUGACGUUACCCGCAGAAGAAGCACCGGCUAACUCCGUGCCAGCAGCCGCGGUAAUACGGAGGGCGCAAGCGUUAAUCGGAAUUACUGGGCGUAAAGCGCACGCAGGCGGUCUGUCAAGUCGGAUGUGAAAUCCCCGGGCUCAACCUGGGAACUGCAUUCGAAACUGGCAGGCUAGAGUCUUGUAGAGGGGGGUAGAAUUCCAGGUGUAGCGGUGAAAUGCGUAGAGAUCUGGAGGAAUACCGGUGGCGAAGGCGGCCCCCUGGACAAAGACUGACGCUCAGGUGCGAAAGCGUGGGGAGCAAACAGGAUUAGAUACCCGAGUAGUC
This 465-nucleotide ribosomal RNA is filed under the name uncultured Klebsiella sp. RNAcentral describes it as "bacterial SSU rRNA". It matches the Rfam family "Bacterial small subunit ribosomal RNA", at positions 338 to 795 of the family's 1533-position model. Lineage: Bacteria; Pseudomonadati; Pseudomonadota; Gammaproteobacteria; Enterobacterales; Enterobacteriaceae. The record is from RNAcentral.